GGCUCAGGAUGAACGCUAGCUACAGGCUUAACACAUGCUAGUCGAGGGGCAGCAUGGUCUUAGCUUGCUAAGGCCGAUGGCGACCGGCGCACGGGUGAGUAACACGUAUCCAACCUGCCGUCUACUCUUGGACAGCCUUCUGAAAGGAAGAUUAAUACAAGAUGGCAUCAUGAGUCCGCAUGUUCACAUGAUUAAAGGUAUUCCGGUAGACGAUGGGGAUGCGUUCCAUUAGAUAGUAGGCGGGGUAACGGCCCACCUAGUCUUCGAUGGGUAGGGGUUCUGAGAGGAAGGUCCCCCACAUUGGAACUGAGACACGGUCCAAACUCCUACGGGAGGCAGCAGUGAGGAAUAUUGGUCAAUGGGCGAGAGCCUGAACCAGCCAAGUAGCGUGAAGGAUGACUGCCCUAUGGGUUGUAAACUUCUUUUAUAAAGGAAUAAAGUCGGGUAUGGAUACCCGUUUGCAUGUACUUUAUGAAUAAGGAUCGGCUAACUCCGUGCCAGCAGCCGCGGUAAUACGGAGGAUCCGAGCGUUAUCCGGAUUUAUUGGGUUUAAAGGGAGCGUAGAUGGAUGUUUAAGUCAGUUGUGAAAGUUUGCGGCUCAACCGUAAAAUUGCAGUUGAUACUGGAUAUCUUGAGUGCAGUUGAGGCAGGCGGAAUUCGUGGUGUAGCGGUGAAAUGCUUAGAUAUCACGAAGAACUCCGAUUGCGAAGGCAGCCUGCUAAGCUGCAACUGACAUUGAGGCUCGAAAGUGUGGGUAUCAAACAGGAUUAGAUACCCUGGUAGUCCACACGGUAAACGAUGAAUACUCGCUGUUUGCGAUAUACAGCAAGCGGCCAAGCGAAAGCGUUAAGUAUUCCACCUGGGGAGUACGCCGGCAACGGUGAAACUCAAAGGAAUUGACGGGGGCCCGCACAAGCGGAGGAACAUGUGGUUUAAUUCGAUGAUACGCGAGGAACCUUACCCGGGCUUAAAUUGCAGAUGAAUUACGGUGAAAGCCGUAAGCCGCAAGGCAUCUGUGAAGGUGCUGCAUGGUUGCCGUCAGCUCGUGCCGUGAGGUGUCGGCUUAAGUGCCAUAACGAGCGCAACCCUUGUUGUCAGUUACUAACAGGUCAUGCUGAGGACUCUGACAAGACUGCCAUCGUAAGAUGUGAGGAAGGUGGGGAUGACGUCAAAUCAGCACGGCCCUUACGUCCGGGGCUACACACGUGUUACAAUGGGGGGUACAGAGGGCCGCUACCACGCGAGUGGAUGCCAAUCCCCAAAACCUCUCUCAGUUCGGACUGGAGUCUGCAACCCGACUCCACGAAGCUGGAUUCGCUAGUAAUCGCGCAUCAGCCACGGCGCGGUGAAUACGUUCCCGGGCCUUGUACACACCGCCCGUCAAGCCAUGGGAGCCGGGGGUACCUGAAGUGCGUAACCGCGAGGAGCGCCCUAGGGUAAAACUGGUGACUGGGGCUAAGUCGUAACAAGGUAGCCG
This 1477-nucleotide ribosomal RNA is filed under the name uncultured bacterium. RNAcentral's name for it is "bacterial SSU rRNA". It matches the Rfam family "Bacterial small subunit ribosomal RNA". The record is from RNAcentral.